Molecule: long non-coding RNA, 685 nt
Organism: Ipomoea nil (Japanese morning glory)
Lineage: Eukaryota; Viridiplantae; Streptophyta; Magnoliopsida; Solanales; Convolvulaceae
Exons: 2
Source: RefSeq, a predicted model, not a curated record
AGAAUCAGUAGUUUCAAAGCACAACUAGUGUUCGUCUGGGCUACAUCUGUGUUUCCUAUGUUAGAUUGUUACUAUUGUUUUUUGUUCUAACCGUGAUUUUGCAGAUGUCGCCAGCGUAUGUACUUAGAAGACCUCUCAGUCAUUUUAUCAAAUCCAAAUUCGAUUCAUUUUCACAAAAGAGAGUGAGCUUUACUAAAUCUACAGCCCCACUUUGCCGCGGCUGCCAUAUGUCAUCAACUCAGCUCUCUGUAAAAAGGCCAUCUUUGGAAUUGUUCCCAAUUCUAAACCUCAACACACCUUAAUCUGCUUUCAAACGUCUUCUUCCUCUUCUUGGAUGCUUUUCAAAUCUUCUUUGAAAGCUCUAGAAACAUCGGGCCAAUCUUCUCCAGCAGCGCUUUUCCAAAUGUACUUUGAAAGCUCAAAAACUCCCCUGCGCUUUCUAAAAUCUUCCCCUGCAGCCUCACGCUACAUAGUUAUGCCAGACCAAAUAACGUGUCUUUAGAAGUUCGUUCUACGAUUUUUUUGGAAUGAAUCUGAUAUGAUCUGAAGCAUUACUAUAGUGGAAGUGUUUGUAUUUGACACAAAGUGAUGUACUUAUAAGUAAGUUUAAUAAUUCUUUGUAUAUUUACGAAACGAUUGAAUACCAACCGUUGUAUUGGAAAUGCCAAACGGCUAAGCAUUAUCA